Molecule: ribosomal RNA, 384 nt
Filed under: uncultured bacterium
Lineage: Bacteria
Description: bacterial SSU rRNA
Rfam family: Bacterial small subunit ribosomal RNA
Source: RNAcentral
GAUGAACGCUGGCGGCAGGCCUAACACAUGCAAGUCGAGCGGUAGAGAGGUGCUUGCAUCUCUUGAGAGCGGCGGACGGGUGAGUAAUGCCUAGGAAUCUGCCUGGUGGUGGGGGAUAACGUUCGGAAACGGACGCUAAUACCGCAUACGUCCUACGGGAGAAAGCGGGGGAUCUUCGGACCUCGCGCCAUUAGAUGAGCCUAGGUCGGAUUAGCUAGUUGGUGAGGUAAAGGCUCACCAAGGCGACGAUCCGUAACUGGUCUGAGAGGAUGAUCAGCCACACUGGAACUGAGACACGGUCCAGACUCCUACGGGAGGCAGCAGUGGGGAAUAUUGGACAAUGGGCGCAAGCCUGAUCCAGCCAUGCCGCGUGUGUGAAGAAGG